RNAcentral lists this ribosomal RNA (527 nucleotides) under uncultured archaeon. Its description in RNAcentral is "bacterial SSU rRNA". It matches the Rfam family "Archaeal small subunit ribosomal RNA", at positions 303 to 830 of the family's 1478-position model. The record is from RNAcentral.
CCGUCCCGCCGCCCCCGCCCGACGGGGUGCAGCAGGCGCGAAACCUUUACACUGCACGCCAGUGCGAUAAGGGGACCCCAAGUGCGCAGGCAUAGUGCCUGCGCUUUUCUGGACUGUAGGGCGGUCCAGGAACAAGGGCUGGGCAAGACCGGUGCCAGCCGCCGCGGUAAUACCGGCAGCCCAAGUGAUGGCCGCUGUUAUUGGGCCUAAAGCGUCCGUAGCUGGCCGCACAAGUCCGUCGGGAAAUCCGCCCGCUCAACGGGCGGCCGUCCGGCGGAACCUGUGUGGCUUGGGACCGGGAGGCCUGAGGGGUACGAUCGGGGUAGGAGUGAAAUCCUGUAAUCCCGCUCGGACCGCCGAUGGGGAAACCACCUCAGGAGAACGGAUCCGACAGUGAGGGACGAAAGCCAGGGUCUCGAACCGGAUUAGAUACCCGGGUAGUCCUGGCCGUAAACGAUGCUUGUUAGGUGUGACUCCCACUACGAGUGGGUGUUGUGCCGUAGGGAAGCCGCUAAACAAGCCGCCUG